Molecule: long non-coding RNA, 692 nt
Filed under: Equus asinus (donkey)
Lineage: Eukaryota; Metazoa; Chordata; Mammalia; Perissodactyla; Equidae
Description: lncRNA (ENSEASG00005032589.1)
Source: RNAcentral
GAGUGAUGGAGAUUAGGAGGUAACAGAGAGCCUAGGAGGAAGGGGAAGAUUUCCCACCAGCCACUUCAACCUCUUGAUGGCUAAAAUUGAGAAGGAAGAAUGCUAUGAUCUACUUCCCGAGAUGAUCUAUGCCUCUUGGAGAUGAGCUUUGAGUCUCCAGCUUUUGGCUGGCAUCCACUGACUUGCCCAAUUCAGAACUUAAGGCUCAGAAAGCGUGAACUGCUCUCUGCAGAUCACAAGGCUAGGAAGUGACUUAAGCAAGUGGGCUGUCUCCAGAUUUGUGUCUUCUCUAUCAUAAGGACCUAAGUCACCCAAAAGUGAUCAAUCAACUAAGACUUCACUCAAAGCAAGUGAUGAGACUGACGUCAAGGAUGGGAAGAGGAUGACAAGGUCAUGCAGCGGUUGGUGACAGAACCAAGAUGAGGGCUUUUGUCCUUGAAGCAGACUAACCACACCAGGUUCAGGAAUGUAGGCAUUAGAGAAAAUCACUGCCAAGCCUCUGCCUCUUUAUUCUUUCUAGAACUUUAGAAUUCUUGAUGCAAUUGCAAUUGAUUGACUCUUGCUAAGAAAGGAACAUUCAGGACAUGGUGUUGGAGGAAACAGUGGGAGAGUCACUAGAUCCGACUGAGGUCUUCACGUUCAUGGACCUAUUUUUGUGUGUGUGUUUCUAGUGAGCUAAGCAAUGGUUUUGG